GUGCUUGCUUCGGAAGCACAUAUACUAACAUUGAAAUACAGAGAAGGCUAGCAUGACCUCUGUGCAAAUGACACUGAAAUUCAUGAAGUCUUCUGUAAUUUU
This is a small nuclear RNA of Mus pahari (shrew mouse), 102 nucleotides long. NCBI's taxonomy places the organism in Eukaryota, Metazoa, Chordata, Mammalia, Rodentia, Muridae. The record is from RefSeq and is a predicted model, not a curated record.